Molecule: ribosomal RNA, 495 nt
Filed under: uncultured bacterium
Lineage: Bacteria
Description: partial 16S ribosomal RNA
Rfam family: Bacterial small subunit ribosomal RNA
Source: RNAcentral
UGAACGCUGGCGGCGUGCCUAAUACAUGCAAGUCGAGCGAACGGACGAGAAGCUUGCUUUUCUGAUGUUAGCGGCGGACGGGUGAGUAACACGUGGAUAACCUACCUAUAAGACUGGGAUAACUUCGGGAAACCGGAGCUAAUACCGGAUAAUAUUUUGAACCGCAUGGUUCAAAAGUGAAAGACGGUCUUGCUGUCACUUAUAGAUGGAUCCGCGCUGCAUUAGCUAGUUGGUAAGGUAACGGCUUACCAAGGCAACGAUGCAUAGCCGACCUGAGAGGGUGAUCGGCCACACGGGAACUGAGACACGGCCCAGACUCCUACGGGAGGCAGCAGUAGGGAAUCUUCCGCAAUGGGCGAAAGCCUGACGGAGCAACGCCGCGUGAGUGAUGAAGGUCUUCGGAUCGUAAAACUCUGUUAUUAGGGAAGAACAUAUGUGUAAGUAACUGUGCACAUCUUGACGGUACCUAAUCAGAAAGCCACGGCUAACUACGUG